CCUACGGGAGGCAGCAGUGAGGAAUAUUGGUCAAUGGACGAGAGUCUGAACCAGCCAAGUAGCGUGAAGGAUGACUGCCCUAUGGGUUGUAAACUUCUUUUAUAUGGGAAUAAAAUGUUCCACGUGUGGGAUUUUGUAUGUACCAUAUGAAUAAGGAUCGGCUAACUCCGUGCCAGCAGCCGCGGUAAUACGGAGGAUCCGAGCGUUAUCCGGAUUUAUUGGGUUUAAAGGGAGCGUAGGUGGAUUGUUAAGUCAGUUGUGAAAGUUUGGGGCUCAACCGUAAAAUUGCAGUUGAAACUGGCAGGCUUGAGUACAGUAGAGGGGGGCAGAAUUCGAGGUGUAGCGGUGAAAUGCGGAGAGAUCACGAAGAAGACCGGGUGCGAAGGCAGC
This 390-nucleotide ribosomal RNA is filed under the name uncultured bacterium. Its description in RNAcentral is "partial 16S ribosomal RNA". It matches the Rfam family "Bacterial small subunit ribosomal RNA", at positions 338 to 725 of the family's 1533-position model. The record is from RNAcentral.